AUGGGAGCUUGCUCCCUGAUGUUAGCGGCGGACGGGUGAGUAACACGUGGGUAACCUGCCUGUAAGACUGGGAUAACUCCGGGAAACCGGGGCUAAUACCGGAUGGUUGUUUGAACCGCAUGGUUCAAACAUAAAAGGUGGCUUCGGCUACCACUUACAGAUGGACCCGCGGCGCAUUAGCUAGUUGGUGAGGUAACGGCUCACCAAGGCAACGAUGCGUAGCCGACCUGAGAGGGUGAUCGGCCACACUGGGACUGAGACACGGCCCAGACUCCUACGGGAGGCAGCAGUAGGGAAUCUUCCGCAAUGGACGAAAGUCUGACGGAGCAACGCCGCGUGAGUGAUGAAGGUUUUCGGAUCGUAAAGCUCUGUUGUUAGGGAAGAACAAGUACCGUUCGAAUAGGGCGGUACCUUGACGGUACCUAACCAGAAAGCCACGGCUAACUACGUGCCAGCAGCCGCGGUAAUACGUAGGUGGCAAGCGUUGUCCGGAAUUAUUGGGCGUAAAGGGCUCGCAGGCGGUUUCUUAAGUCUGAUGUGAAAGCCCCCGGCUCAACCGGGGAGGGUCAUUGGAAACUGGGGAACUUGAGUGCAGAAGAGGAGAGUGGAAUUCCACGUGUAGCGGUGAAAUGCGUAGAGAUGUGGAGGAACACCAGUGGCGAAGGCGACUCUCUGGUCUGUAACUGACGCUGAGGAGCGAAAGCGUGGGGAGCGAACAGGAUUAGA
This 726-nucleotide ribosomal RNA is filed under the name Bacillus spizizenii ATCC 6633 = JCM 2499. RNAcentral describes it as "bacterial SSU rRNA". It matches the Rfam family "Bacterial small subunit ribosomal RNA", at positions 72 to 782 of the family's 1533-position model. Lineage: Bacteria; Bacillati; Bacillota; Bacilli; Caryophanales; Bacillaceae. The record is from RNAcentral.